AGUAAAUAGAUACCCGGGUAGUCCACGCCCUAAACGAUGUCGACUAGGUGUUCGGUGAGGAGACUCAUUGAGUACCGCAGCUAAACGCGUGAAGUCGACCGCCUGGGGAGUACGGUCGCAAGAUUAAAACUCAAAGGAAUUGACGGGGACCCGCACAAGCGGUGGAUGAUGUGGAUUAAUUCGAUGCAACGCGAAAACCUUACCUACCCUUGACAUGUACGGAACCCUGCUGAGAGGUGGGGGUGCUCGAAAGAGAGCCGUAACACAGGUGCUGCAUGGCUGUCGUCAGCUCGUGUCGUGAGAUGUUGGGUUAAGUCCCGCAACGAGCGCAACCCUUGUCAUUAGUUGCUACGCAAGAGCACUCUAAUGAGACUGCCGGUGACAAACCGGAGGAAGGUGGGGAUGACGUCAAGUCCUCAUGGCCCUUAUGGGUAGGGCUUCACACGUCAUACAAUGGUCGGUACAGAGGGUUGCCAAGCCGCGAGGUGGAGCCAACCCCAGAAAGCCGAUCGUAGUCCGGAUCGCAGUCUGCAAC
Molecule: ribosomal RNA, 535 nt
Filed under: uncultured bacterium
Lineage: Bacteria
Description: bacterial SSU rRNA
Rfam family: Bacterial small subunit ribosomal RNA
Source: RNAcentral